UCACAUGCUCAUCAUAUGAACAGCCCCUCAUAAAGUCAUGAAGUUUCAUGUCCAGUGGGAUUCGUUUCCGCACUGGGAGCAAGCACCACUCGCCGGCUGAGCUCCAGGACGCUGAUGCUGAAAGUUUUGCCAACUUCCACAGUGCCAGAAAGCAUGGAUUGAGAAAACCUUUUAUAAAAGAGAAUGCAUCCAUAUAUUUCCAGCCAAGGACCCAACCCGGUGUGCCUGCGGUUAUCUUGUGAGUCAGCACACUGCCAUUUCAUCAGGAUCCGUAACAAAC
Molecule: long non-coding RNA, 280 nt
Organism: Paramisgurnus dabryanus
Lineage: Eukaryota; Metazoa; Chordata; Actinopteri; Cypriniformes; Cobitidae
Source: RefSeq, a predicted model, not a curated record